Molecule: long non-coding RNA, 1104 nt
Organism: Macrobrachium nipponense
Lineage: Eukaryota; Metazoa; Arthropoda; Malacostraca; Decapoda; Palaemonidae
Exons: 3
Source: RefSeq, a predicted model, not a curated record
CUCAGUUCGUUUCGUACGAAGAGUUAUGUCAGCAGUUUUUUACAGUUUUACCGGGAGUGAUUAUUGCAGCCGUACCAGUUAUCCCGGUGACGUCAGCUGGCACUCAACGUCGCUAAAUACGACGGGACCUAUCGUCAGAAAUCCCAGACAAACAACACUGCAUUAACCAACUGGACGGUCUGGAAGCCAUAGGCCUGGAACGAACCACACACGUAGCAAACGUGAGUCAAGGUCGAGAGUAUGAUCCUGGAAAACAGUACUUCGAGCGAGGUCAAAUAAUAAUAGAAGCGAUUCGUAAAUGAACUCAACAAUUUAGAAUAAGAGGGAGAAGAAGAAAAAGAAGAAAAAAAAUACAAGAUGGCGACAUAGAAGCAGCAAAACAGCAGAAAUAGAGAGAGAAAAUUUAUGGAAAAAUGAAGAAUUGCAAGAAAACUUUUUUGGAUACGAAGAUAGUUGUUGUAUUAGGCAUUUUUGAGUGAACUGUGUUUGUGGAAUGUCUCAGUCUUAAGCAGAGAUAAUCAAAAAGGAUAUCAAAAGAGUUCUGGAUGGAAAUUCCUCGUAUAAUUCAGUGUUAUCCAUGAUGUAAUUAAAUAUAUACAGAACAUAUACAUUUCUGGAAAACGAAAAUUAACAGAAAAUGUAAAAGAGAUAAAAAAAGUUACUGGUAAAAAUCGUAGAUAUUUCAAAAUGAUGAAGCUCUCAUUAACUAAAACUUUACUUCAGUUUACGAAUCAUUAAAGAUACCAUCGAUUUAAUCUGAAAAUUUUGUAAGAAAAAGGAAAAAAACGAAACAAAAUUACAUCAUAUCAAAAAUGUUACAGAUUUUACGUGUUACGUUUAUUAUUCACCUUGUAAUCAAAUCUAUGAGACUUAGUUUAGGAAUGUGAGAGAGAUAUAUUAUAUGUGACUGUUCAGUAUUUUCAAAGAAACCGAUUCUAGUCCGAGUUAUGUUUCAUUAGAGGUUUAAAAAAAGAGAAGAGGGGUUUCUAUUAGAGGGGCGAACGUUCGUGCGUAUAAUAAUGAGCCUGGCGGCUGGGCGUGGCGGUUGAUAAUUGUAUUUUUAUAAUUUAUAUCAUUUUAUAAUAAAGAAAUGUUACUGUAUUA